Molecule: ribosomal RNA, 256 nt
Filed under: uncultured bacterium
Lineage: Bacteria
Description: partial 16S ribosomal RNA
Rfam family: Bacterial small subunit ribosomal RNA
Source: RNAcentral
UACGUAGGGUGCGAGCGUUGUCCGGAAUUAUUGGGCGUAAAGAGCUUGUAGGCGGUUUGUCGCGUCUGCUGUGAAAAUCCGGGGCUCAACCCCGGACUUGCAGUGGGUACGGGCAGACUAGAGUGUGGUAGGGGGAGACUGGAAUUCCUGGUGUAGCGGUGGAAUGCGCAGAUAUCAGGAGGAACACCGAUGGCGAAGGCAGGUCUCUGGGCCGUUGCUGACGCUGAGGCGCGACGAGCGUGGGGAGGCAAACAGG